Non-coding RNA from Dipodomys ordii (Ord's kangaroo rat), 72 nucleotides. NCBI's taxonomy places the organism in Eukaryota, Metazoa, Chordata, Mammalia, Rodentia, Heteromyidae. The record is from Rfam.
GUGGGGGGAACUCAGUGGUAGAGUGCUUGCCUCAAAUGCAUGAGGCCCUGGGUUCAAUUCUUCAGCACCACA